GUUGCACGUAUGCGCCGUUGUAUGUACUACCAGUUACUGCUCUUGGAUGUUACCACUUUCCUGUACCUGAGGCGUGAGCAGCACCUUGGCAGAGCAGCCCCAGCUUCACUACUCCAUCUGUGUCUAGACGGAACGUUUUCAGGCAUAGUAUUGAGUGCAGGUCACACUGGCCUGUGUAGACAGCUGGAUUGUUAACAAUAAAAUGUUCAGCCACUUAUUUUAGCAACAUAAGCAGGCACCAAAGAGAGGAGGGGCCAGUCAUCAAGACAACAGCACUGCCAGCUCUCCAGAGAUGACUGUUUAGAUAAGCAUAUGACGACAGAGCACCACAAACAGUCUGUGAAGUCACAUGCCUUACUGGCACAAGAUCAUAAAAAGACCAACUGUCAGCCUCAUUUAAUAAUUCAUCAGAUGUUGGAGAUUUUGGCCACCAUGGUUGAGGAGCUAAUCCUCUCCUCCAUGGCUAUCGGGCUGGAGGUGGAUGAAAGCACAAAUGUUUCUGUGGACAACAAUUAAUGACUGAAUCUGAGUUGUUAGGGGUCUGCCAUAUCAUAUUUUCAUGGUAUAUCAUUUUUAAAUUUUUUAAAAAUCAUUUAGUGACAGUGGCAAUAUUCCCACUUACUGAUUCCUUGUCUUGAUUUUUUUCCCUUUCUGUUCUGAAUGGCUGUUCUGAAAGUCCUUGGGCCAAGUGAAUCUGAGACCACAGAAAAAAUUACUGGCAGCUUUUAACAGCAAUUCUGGCCAUUAUUGUGUACUGCAGCUGCACUUUGUGUUGUUAUUAAUCUUUCAUCUCAUGACACCUGGCAUUAUGUUCUCAGCUGC
Long non-coding RNA from Micropterus dolomieu (smallmouth bass), 822 nucleotides. RefSeq lists it as uncharacterized. The transcript has 4 exons. The record is from RefSeq and is a predicted model, not a curated record. Lineage: Eukaryota; Metazoa; Chordata; Actinopteri; Centrarchiformes; Centrarchidae.